Molecule: small nuclear RNA, 104 nt
Organism: Psammomys obesus (fat sand rat)
Lineage: Eukaryota; Metazoa; Chordata; Mammalia; Rodentia; Muridae
Source: RefSeq, a predicted model, not a curated record
GCUCAUUUUGGCAGUGCAUAUACUAAAAUUUAAAUACUAGAGAAUAGAUUAGCAUUUCCCGUUGCACAAGGAUGACACACAUUCUUGAAUCAUUCUUUAUUUAA